CUUUACUGUAACUUGAAAUUGAAACUGGACUUUACUUGCGCAGGAUAGGUGGGAGGCGUUGAGAGUAUUCUUGCGGGAAUAUUGGAGCCAUCGGUGAGAUACCACUCUUGUAAUGUUAGGUUUCUAACUUGGUAUCAUGAUCUGGUCCAAGAACAGUUUCAGGCGGGCAGUUUGACUGGGGCGGUCGCCUCCUAAACGGUAACGGAGGCGUACAAAGGUUUCCUCUGAACGGGUAGAAAUCGUAUCUAGAGUGUAAAGGCAUAAGGAAGCUUGACUGUGAGACCUACAAGUCGAGCAGGGACGAAAGUCGGUCUUAGUGAUCUGACGGUGCUGAGUGGAAAGGCCGUCACUCAACGGAUAAAAGUUA
Molecule: ribosomal RNA, 367 nt
Filed under: uncultured organism
Description: bacterial LSU rRNA
Rfam family: Bacterial large subunit ribosomal RNA
Source: RNAcentral